RNAcentral lists this ribosomal RNA (364 nucleotides) under uncultured eukaryote. RNAcentral's name for it is "partial 18S ribosomal RNA". It matches the Rfam family "Eukaryotic small subunit ribosomal RNA", at positions 593 to 976 of the family's 1831-position model. The record is from RNAcentral.
AAUAGCGUAUAUUUAAGUUGUUGCAGUUAAAAAGCUCGUAGUCGGAUUUUGGCUGAGAACGAUCGGUCCGCCGUUAGGUGUGCACUGAUUGGUCUCAGCUUCCUGGUGAGGAGGUGUGCUUCACGGCCACUUAGUCACCGUGGUUACUUUGAAAAAAUUAGAGUGUUCAAAGCGGGCUUACGCUUGAAUAUAUUAGCAUGGAAUAACACCAUAGGACUCCUGUCCUAUUUCGUUGGUCUCGGGACGGGAGUAAUGAUUAAGAGGAACAGUUGGGGGCAUUCGUAUUUCAUUGUCAGAGGUGAAAUUCUUGGAUUUAUGAAAGACGAACUUCUGCGAAAGCAUUUGCCAAGGAUGUUUUCAUUGA